Biomphalaria glabrata is the source of this 11137-nucleotide long non-coding RNA. RefSeq lists it as uncharacterized. The transcript has 9 exons. Lineage: Eukaryota; Metazoa; Mollusca; Gastropoda; Planorbidae. The record is from RefSeq and is a predicted model, not a curated record.
CAGGUUAGUCUCGGGUCAUAGGUGACUCCAAGAUAAGUAGGGCUGUCAUUUUUUUCUAAAGCUUCAAAAUCUAAUGUUAAUUUUAUUGUUUGUUGUUUUGUUGACAGUGAGAAUAUGGUAUAUGUGGUCUUUUUUGUGUUGAUGGACAUGCCCCAGUCUUUGGACCAAUUAUUGAGUUUAUCAAGAGCAUCUUGUAAUCGAAAUUUCAAUGUUCCUACAUAUUCUUCUGUGCUAAUUAUGGCAAGGUCAUCUGCAUACAUGCUGCUUUUAACUUUUCUAGCCUCCAAGAAUGAAAUCAGCUCAGCCUUGAGUUGGACGACACCCUUUAACACUUUUCCCCUGGAGAGCCAACGAACGUUGGUGUGAUACAGGAGACAUUAGUAGUCUGAAUCCAUUGCUUCACAAAGCUCUGAGGAAAGUCAGAAUGCAAGCGGUCUAGAUUUGAGGAAGUUUACGACUUCAAUCACUUGAUCCAGAACAGACAUCAAAUAUUUGAAGGCAAGAGCUUCUCUGUGGAUCAUGCAGUGAACAACUAAUACAUUUGGAUUUUCUUGUCGCACAAGAGUGAAGAAUCCCUUUCUAUUUCCCUGCAUGGAAGGACAGCCAUCGGUGCAAACGCUGACACAGUUUGUCUCCACUGUACUUUGAAUAGCAAAAUGUUUUCGUUCACCACUUAAAAAUAUCUUCGCCUUUGGUCGUAGUUGGUGGCGAUUUUAUUGUUUACCAUGGAGUUGUCUACUUUUCAAAUUUUACUGACCAAGUUUUUUACAGUGACUGAUCCAUCAGCAGUUUCCGAAGCAGUAACUGAUAUCUCAAAAAAAUAUCGCUUUUCUGAUGGUGUCUGGUCACCUCAGAGGAUCAACAGGAUUUGUUCAUUGAAAGACACUUGAAGGUGUAGGCAGUUAAAGCAAAAGGACUUCUUGCAAUGUUUGUUUCAAGGACCAGACACAACAGAAUUCCACAACAUAUGUAUCGGAAGCUCAAAAUCAGAAACUGAAAUCUGCCCAUGUGGAGUGUCACCAGAGAAUGUUGACCAUCUCCUCCAAAAUUGCUCUCUUUACCAAGAGGCUGUACAUGACACUGGCCCCAAAACACCCCAAUAGAAAGAAAACUAUAUGGAGAGUUCCCUGAUUUGGAAAUCACUGCAAAAAUAAUCUCAUAUACUGGUCCAGUCAUCUGAAUGCUCCAAUAAAAAAAAUGAGAAGGAAGAACAAAGAAGAUUCUCUAUUUUGACAAUAUAUAAAGAGUGACUUUAGCUCAACUCCUCACCAAGCUUUACAGUCUGUGACAUUUUUUUGGUGGCGAUUUUAUUGUUUACCAUGGAGUUGUCUACUUUUCAAAUUUUACUGACCAAGUUUUGUACAGUGACUGAUCCAUCUGCAGUUUCCAAACCAGUAACUGAUAUCUCAAAAAAAUAUUGCUUUAUUGAUGGUGUCUGGUCACCUCAGAGGAUCAACAUGAUUUGUUCAUUGAAAGACACUUGAAGGUGUAAGUUGUAAAAGGUUUUGAAAGACUUGCCAAAGCAAGGCAUUCUUGACAGGGAUAAACAUUGGGAGCAGCUCUAGCUGACUCAGCUCAGAGGAUGACAUCACAGUUAAUUGACAUCUUUCUGUUAACAAUGCAUGGAUUAUCUUAUCUUCUUCAUUCUAGGGGAAUUAUGCAUUGAGUGAAGACAUCUUGCUGUAGAAGAGAAGAACAAUUCAGAUAGUUCACAUGAUUUACAAUAUGGCUUUGAUUGUCUUAUGUUAAUGGCUGGUAAAGAACUGAAACAUGUAGGCUGGAGAUCACUUGAUAGAAAUCAAGAAAUCUCUGAUCUACAUUGUAUGAGAAAAUCAUGAAGUGGUUGUUGUCAUUGAUCCAGAAACUAAGUUGCAAUCUGUCUUGAUAAAUAUAUCAUACAGAUUUAAUGGUGGCCUACUCAACCCGAGGCGGCUUAAAGCAAAAACAAAAACAAACGCAGCAGUAAUCAGAGACUUGCUAUUUGCUGACGACUGUGCCCUAAAUGCCUGCUCUGAAAACGAUCUGCAGAGCAUCGUCAGUGACUUCUCAAGAGCAUGCUCAGACUUUGGCCUUACCAUCAAUACGAACAAGACUGAAGUCUUAUAUCUACCUGCUCCUGGGAAAGCCUACAUGGAUCCAAGCAUUACUAUAAAUGGACAGGGUAUAAACGCAGUGGACAAAUUCACAUAUCUUGGCAGCACACUUUCCAGAAAUGGAAAAAUCGAUAGUGAAAUCGACCUGCGUAUCGCCAAGGCCAGUGCAUCCUACGGCAGAUUGUCUACAAAUGUCUGGAACAGACGUGGUAUCUCCACAAACACCAAGCUAGGGGUCUAUAGAGCCGUCAUCCUCCCUACAUUGCUAUAUGCCUCAGAAACAUGGACAGUGUACAGUAAACAUGCAAAGAAACUAAACCACUUCCACAUGACAUGUCUGAGAAAAAUACUAAAUGUCAAAUGGCAAGACAAAAUACCAGAGUGUGUCUGCAAAGAAUCCACACAAUCCUGAUGCAGUCCCAGCUGCGAUGGGCAGGUCACGUCUACAGAAUGGAAGACCACCGCAUCCCUAAACGACUCCUGUAUGGCCAACUAAGCGAAGGAAAGCGCUCGCAAGGUGGUCAAAGAAAGCGCUUCAGGGACACCCUCAAUGCUUCUCUGAAGGCGUUCAGCAUAGACCCAGGCACCUGGGAGACAGAGGCACAUGACAGAGCAUCAUGGCGUCGCGCUGUGAAAACUGGCGCACAGGUUGCUGGGGAAAAAAGAACAAUGCUGGCAGAAGAAAAACACCAGAAAAGAAAAGCAAGGCCCACGACACUAGCUCCAGCUGGAAUAACCUGCCCAGUGUGCGGCCGAACAUUCCGGGCUCACAUAGGUCUCACCAGCCACAUGAGGAGGCAUAAAACCCCAGUGCAAAGCCCUCAGCCCCCUGGAUGACAAAGUGGUCAUCAUCGAACCACGAUGGACGAACUAUAAGUUGCAAUCUGUCUUGGUAAGCAGUAUUGAAGUUAGGGUGAUAGCUUUUUUGGUCACAAUAAUUUAAUUUGAAAAUUAAAGAAAUUUUUUUUGCUUUAGUAGACAGAUUUAUAAAAAUUAAACAUUGUUUUAAAUGUCUAAAAGAUUAAUUAAAACUUGUAAAACUGUUGUGAAAUUAUUUUCACUGUUAUCAGUAUUUUUUAUUCCUAGAUUUAUCACUGCUUUUAGUUUCCUAUAUAAUCGUUGUGUUACUAUUCAAAUGUUGUGUAAACAUGGGGGUAGUGUUGUAACCCUGCCUUGCACCAGUGCUUGAGGUGCGCACUAGUGAACGUAAACAGGAAGAGACUUGAAUGGAGAGAAGAACAGUGCAUCAGGGAUUGUGAAGAGUCUGAAUGUUUGGAAACUAAGAAGCAAGCUUUUGGUGCUGCCUGAAGGUUGUAGAAGGGACCUGGAACGAAGCGGGGAAGUCUGUCGUUGGUCCACAUUCGGGUUGCUGUCUAAAGGACUGGUAAAUUAGUAGAAAGACUCUGAGGAAGCUGAAGGAUGCUAUGUGUUUGUCCUAGUGAAUAAACACCUGUCUUUAUUUCCUGUUACACUGUGUUGAGUUGCAUGCCUAUUCAUUGAGUGCCUAGCAGAGAGUUGCAACAAUUGGUGUUAUGACUCUACAAUGCACGCUGUCAUUAGGUGUGAGACUGCGCACCAUGAGACACAGGACAGAGACAUGAAAUAAGAGAGGAAGUCAAGAUGGCCGAUGAUUAGAGAUGAAAACGACGCUUGUGAUGUGAUUAGUGUAAUUCUAGAUCUAGUUUCCUAUUUGGUUAUUAAACAUUCUAUUUUGUUAUUUUUAUACUCCUUUCGUUGAGAUUUGGCUAAGUUAUAGCAAUUGUUCUGGGUGGAAAGACAUGCUCCAAUUUGAUUCCCUUUUCUGUAAUUCAUCUAAUUCUCUUUGUAAAAUAUGUGUGUCUUGUGUUGUUUUUAUUGUUCUAUAUAUUAUGCAAUCGUCUGCAAAUAAUCUGACUUUUGUUCCUGAACUAAUGCAAUUUGGUAAAUCAUUUAUGUAAAUUAAAAAUAGUGGUGGACCCAAGACUGUUCCUUGAGGUACACCUGAGUUUACUGUUAUCGGUGUUGAUUUAGAGCCAUUUAUUAUUACAGUUUGUUCUCUCCCUAUCAGAAAAUCUUUAAUCCACUGAUGCAGUGGACCAUUAAUGCCGAAAUAUUUUAAUUGUUUAAGCAAACUAUAGUGGUGAACUUUGUCAAAAGCCUUGGAAAAAUCUAGUAAGAUAGCAUCUAUUUGUUCACUAUUAUCUAAACCUUUUGAAAAAUCAUCAAUUAGUCCUAUUAGUUGUGUUUCACAUGAUCUAUAUUUCCUAAAGCCAUGUUGGUAUGGGGUGAGGACAUUAUGUUUGUCUAAGUGGUUUAUGAUGUUGCUACAUAUUAUGUGUUCUAGGAUUUUACAUGUGAUGCUGGUAAGUGAUACUGGUCUGUAGUUUCCUGGGUCAGAUUUUUCUCCUUUUUUAAAUAGGGGGGUGACAUUAGCUUCUUUCUAGUCCUUUGGUACUCUGCCCUGGUUAAGCGAUGCCUGAAAGAGUAUUUUGAACACUGGGGCUAGUUCAUUGCUUAGUUCUUGGAGUAAUCUAGCUGGAAUACCAUCAGGUCCAGACGCUUUAUUUGGUUUGGUGUUGGCUAAUAGUUUUUUAAUUCCAUUUUCUUGUACUACUAAAUCUUCUAUGUUGUCUACUUGGUUCAAAUUAAGUAAUAUGUCUUUGUCUCCUGGGGCUGAGAAUGCUGAUGCAAAGUAUUUGUUUAGGAUGUUUGCUUUAGUUCAUUAUCAUUAUGUUAUGUUCAUCUUUUAAUGGCACUAUGCCUGUUGUUUCCAUUUUCUUAGACUUAAUGUAUGACCAUAGGUUUUUGUUGUUAUCUUUAGAUAUUACAUUGUUUAUGUAUUCACUCUGCAGCUGUCUGCUUACUUUUUGGGUUAAGUGUUUAAUUUUUAUAUACUUUUUGUAAACUCUUUCUGCCUUAGUUUCUUUAAAUUUUCUAUAUAGGUUUUCCUUCUGUUUACAAAGCUUCUUUAGUCUAUUAUUAAACCAGCAUUAAUUUAUUUUGUUUGAUGUGUAUUUAGUUGGUAUAUGAUUUUCUAUAAUGCUUUUAAGAUGGUUUUUAAUGAUAUUCCAGAGGUCAUCGACUGGUUGGUUAAUGUCUUUAUCUAAUAAGAAUGUUUGUUGAAAGUUUAAUGCAGCUUGGUGUAGUUGUGUUAGGUUACAUUUAUUCCAGAGUAAAAUUUUUCUUUUGGGUUUUGUAUUGGCUACUGCUUUUAUCUGACUGUGUAUUUUUAUGAUCUCAUGGUCUGAUAGACCAGGGAUAAUAUCAUAAUCAACUACUAAUCCAGGUCUGUGGUUAAGAAGAUAUCUAAUGUGUUGUUUAAUCUAGUUGGCUUUUUAAUGAUUUGAUCUAAACUUAGGUUGUGUAAAGUUUCUAUGAAAAGCUCAUUUAUGUCCUUAGGGUUUUGGUGUUUAUCUAUGGUUAGUGUUUUCCAAUUUAUAUCAGGUAGGUUGAAAUCACCCAUAAUCCAAAAAACUGCAUUUUUAUCUGUCUCUUUAAGUGUAGUAAUCUGAUUACAUAGUUCCUGCAUGUAUUCUAAACUAGAAUUUGGUGGUCUGUAAAUGCUGCCUAUUAUUAGGGAUGUUGAGGUGGUAUUAAUUUUACAAAAUGUAGAUUCUAUAUUUUUGAGUUAGGUAAGGUAAUUUCUUCUGCUAUAAGAGUGUUUUUUAUUGCUAAAAGAACUCCUCCAUGAUUAUCAGCCCUAUCUUUUCUAAAAAUUUCAUAAUUACCAUUGAAAAUUUCUGCAUUAUAAAUUUCAGUGAACGAAUUGUGUGUCCCCUUACCUGUCAAUUCUGUUUAGUGAUGGUCAAGCUCAACUGAUAUUAUUCUAAGCAGCUUUUAUUCUGAGAAUCAUUCAACCACAGAAGCUGUGAGGGAUAUCUGAAAUCCAUUGCUUACUUGUCUAGCAGAAAGAUUUCUAUCCGUUUAGUGAUAAAAGAUUGAGAUUAAUUGUAUACAACUUUUUGUAGUCACUAAAUAACACACUUUUAUGCUCAAGACAAUACUGUUCAUGAAUGGUUUAGUUUUCUUAAUGCUGAGAGUGUUCAUGAAAGAAGGAUCAAAGGUCAAUUUGGGUGUUUGUUUUUUAAGACAACUUGCAAUGUUUAUUAAUUUAAAUUUACCAGGUACCUAUUAUUCAUUUACUUUGGAUUUUAAGAUAUUUGUCAUUGAAAUUUAAAUAGGUAUAAGUACAGUUAAUUAACCACAGGAUUCCAUUAAAAAAUUUAAAUGCUAAAGAAAUUUAAAAAGAAAACAUUUCAUUUUUGAGAUUACAUCAUCUUUAUGUGGAAUGUUUUUUGAAUAAAUGGUACCUGUACAGGUGAUUAGACCUAUUAAUAAAUGAUAACUGGAUAUAUUUGUAUUUGAAACCACUGGCAUGUAUUUUACUUGUUACUAAUAACUUAAUUUACUUUUUAAUAUAUGCGUUAUCUUCUAUUUUGAAGAAACAUCUGUAUUAUAUAAGAUAAGAUUAUCAACUGUAGUUUUCUUUUAAGAGUUCUUUAUGAAAAUGUUACCACUGAACACUGCUAUAUUACUAGACUUUUUUCAACUAUGUUUUGUAAAUGAAAUAUUGUACAAUGGCAUAUUUAUUGUAUUACAUAAUUAAGGUUUUUAUAGCUAUAUAUUAAAAACAUCUCAUAUUUAAUGUACUCUCUGCACUGAACAAUUUUUUUUAAAGUGAUAAAAAUUUUGGUUUAUUCAUAUCAAGUUUGUUUUGUUUGUAUAUAUGUAGAAUAUGUAUUAUCAUAGUGAAAGCAUUUAUUUACUUGCAUUUUAGUUUUUAUAAUCAUUUAUAGAAUUCAGUGUAAAUUCAUUGUACAUUGAACCUCGUUGGUAGUGUCAAUGUAAUUAAGUUGACAUGAAGUAUUUAUGUAUAGUCCUGGGUGUUAACUACAUUGUUCAUUAGAUGACUUCCUGACAGUGUUUUAUCCCAUGGGAGCCAAUAGAUCAGCAUGUCAAUAUAUCUGUUGUAAGAUGUUUAGAGUAUACAACUCUAGCAAUAAAUAUGCUGAUCAAGUUUAUAUUUUUGGAACAGAAUAUGCUAAUGUGUUAAAUACAUUUUUUUUUAUUUUAAGAAUAACAACUGGUACUUUAUUUUAUCCCUUUGUAUCUUUCUUUUUUUAAUGUCUAAGUAGUAUAACUUCUAAUUUAAUUGUCUCCCUUUUAAAAUCAACCAUCUAAAUUAGGGAUGGGCAACCUUUUUCUGUUGAGGGCCGCAUUAAAUUUUUUUUUUAGGAAUAGGGGGCCACAUAUAUAUAAUUUGUAUUUACAACUUAGAAAAAUAUGCUAGCUGUCUAUUAAUUUACUUGUAUACUGUAUUAGACAUUCAAAUUGAGGAAUUAUAACAAGAUUUAGCAAUUUUUGAAACUAAUUUAACUGAUAUUUAAAAAAAUUUUGUUACUGUCUUUUUACAUCACAUUCAUUCUUCACAACAAUCCAGUUAUACUUAAUGUGAAGUAUUUAAUUGUGCAUAAUGUUCCGGAACUCUGGAACUAGCUUUACUAGUUCUUAUCUUUGUGACUGCUGUUAAAUUACAGCCAGUCAGCAUCCACUUGUUCUUCUGGUUGCAUAUGUUCAAACAAAAGAAAAUAUUCUUGUGCAUCCAAAAAUGUCAAAGUUUAGCAUCAAGUCUUUUUAAGUGUGGAAAUACAGCUUAUGCACCCUUCAAACUGCUUCUCUUUUGGGUCAUAAUUUGCUAGGAAGUAUUUCCUCAGGAGCUGAAUCAGCUUCUGUACUAAAUGGUGAAGUGAGGAUAUUCAAAAAUGGUUUAAGUUCUUGACGUCUUAACAUUUGUUUUCAAAUUCCAUAAGUCUUGUUCUUUUCUUUUUACUAGAAAUAGUUUCACCUUUCAGCAAACGAAAAUGAAAAAACCUGUUUUCACUUGCUUGACUGGAGAAAUGGAAAAGCUUGAAAAGAUGCUCAUAAAUUUCAUGAUGUGCAAGUAGCCCAUUGCAACUCUUCAUUAGAAACAUUAGUAAGAAAGCCACUGUCAGUGUCAUUAAGGAAAAAAAAAAUUUUUCCUUGAGACCCCAUAUUCUUUUCAAUACCUUGCCCAUGUGGUACUUCUUGAAACUGUCUGUGGCUCUGAUAAGUUUGAUCACUGAGAUGAUUAGGUCAAUAAUAUGUCUGAUAUUCACUGCAACCUCUCGGUGUAGAAUUUAAGGUUGUGAUAUUGUUCUUUAUUUUAAAAAAAAAAUGGUUUUCUCAGUCAAAGCAUGGGCUCCAUCAGUUGUUACACUUGACAUCUUGUUCCAAGCCAACCCAACACUUUCAACACAGUUCUUCAUAGAAUUUAUUAAAUACUGGUCUGAGUGUGUGUCUUGUUUCGAAAUAUUACCAAUAAGCAUAAUCUUCAUUUGCUUAAAACUUUAGAAUAACAUGAAGAGACAAUGUUUAUUGAGCUUCUUCAUCAUAAUUGAUUGAUUUGAUUUUAGGCACAUCUGCACAAUUUAGGCCAUUUAAAUAUCAUAAUUGAUAAGAAGAUUUUUAAAAUUAUUUAUUUUUAAUAUAUUUGCAUUUUUAUAUGUUUAAUCUGUGGGCUCACCUGAAUUCUGUAGGUUUCUGCGGGCCGCAAAAACACUUUGGCAGGCCGCAUGUGGCCCGUGGUCUGUAAUUUGCCCACCCCUGAUCUAAAUGAAUUAAGUUAUUUUGAUUCUACACAAUCUUCUACUACUAAAAGUAAUAUCAGGACUACCAAUGUACCUUAGUUUUUAACUAAAUAUUUAUUUGUGCAGCACUUUCAGUUUUAUUGUGAUAUCGUAUACAUUGAUUUGAUUGACUCAUUUUGAUGUAUAUGUAUACCUUGCAAUCAAAGUGGCAUUCAUUUUUUUUUUAAAUUGUAACUGGUCUGUGCUAAAUUACUGAAUUCAUAUUAAGAGAUAACUAUUAAUGUAUUUGAAAGUUAAUGGUAAAGGGAAAAUAGGUCAUUGUGCUGGUCUCAAUACACCUUGAAAUGUACAGUAAUUACUUCAAUGAACAAGAAGAAAUUAAUCAGCAAUGAAAUUACCAAAAAAGAUAUGACAGGAAAUGCUAUUAACAUCUAGUCAGUGAUUACCCUCUACAAAGUCAUAGUCAACUAAUCUAAUUGACUUCAAUAUUCAAUCAUUAUCAAAAAUAAACCAUUCCAAAGACAAAGUGAAUGAUAGACAAAAAAUGGGAGAAGCUUUUUGAUGUAGGGCAAAAUGUGAAAAUAUUCAAGUUCAAAUAAAUUUCCCUUUUCAGACUUUGCGAUCUGUAAGACAGAUGAUACAAAAAAUCAUCUGUUUCUGUGUCUUAUGGUCAAUGAUGGUAUCAGGUGGCCACCACAAUGACCAACCGCCUUUACUUUUCUCCAUUAAAUGUCAGGAACCCAUUUGAGCUGGGUGGACCGAAAGGUGCCUAAUUGUUUUUCUUUAUAUUAGGACCAUUAUAAAAAAAAUGGUCUUCAAACCCUAGACCUAUGUUUGGCAGCCAAGCACUUUACCGCUUAGCCACCACACCUCCAAGUGAAUUCUAUAGAAACUUUUAACUGUUUGCUCAUCUUUCAUUCUACAACUAAAGCAAGGUAAUUAUUUAUUGUUAGGGACAAUGCUGUCUGGAAUGAGAGAAUAUGUUAGCCUGUCAGGGCCUAAGGUCAUGUCUAGCCUGGGAUAACAAGAAGUUACAGUUGCCAGAUUGUAACACUACUGGGUGGGUUGUAUCUGUGCACCUCUGUGACCAAGGGGUUUGAGUCAUCUAAGCAACCAGACAACUAAACUAAACUAGCGAACUAAAAGAAAUCUAGAAACAUAAAGAAGAAAUUCAAAUGAGACUUUAAUUUCAAUGACUAAGGCAGCAGUUACAAUCUAGUACAUAAACAUUAGAAGUGGCCAUCAUGACAGCACUGGGCAGGGCUUGGCCAUAUUUUUAAAACAAACUUUAGAAAAAAAAAACUGCUAGUUAUUUUGACAGUUGUUCAAAUAUAAAACAGAUUUACACAUAGUAAAAUUUUAAAAAAUAAAAGAAAAAUUCUGAAACUUACAGGCAGUCCCAGGUACAGAAUAAUUAAAACUGACACAGAGACCACUGGUCAACAGUACAGGAAACAGCAUAGGCUCUAUUUUAAGUACUCCACCCUAACCCAUAUAAUAGGCAGAAAUACAAGUAUACAGCUUAGCACUAGCCUACAGAAGUAAAAUUUAAAAUACAUAAAAGUAGCUUUGGGAGCGCCAGUUCACAAUUAUAAAAAUUUACCUGUUAAUAAAGUCUAGGUCUAAUGUUUGUUUUGUUGGUUUUACAUGUGUUCCAUCAGAAAGAGAGAUAACAUCUUAGCCGUAACCUCCAACAGGACACUGAGUGUUAACACCAGAGACUAUGGAGAUGACAAAGUGGAUACCCCAUGAUCACCAAUAGAUAAUACAAAGUGAAUUAGUAUUUGAAAAUUUUAAACACACUAAGGGGAUAAACUCAUUGCUUUAGUGAAGACUGACAAUACCAAGUAGUAAAUAUUAUUAUACUCUUUAUUUAUAGCAAAAUAUGUAGGUCCUAGCUGGGGAAUACUGCAAACUUCUCACUAAUCUUCGGACUUGAAGAUAAGCCUUAUUAUUAUUAUUUAUGGAAAAUUUCUCCUCUAAGAAAUCAGACAAAAACUAAAAACUGUAUUCAUGGUAACAGCAAAACAUUUAUAUUAUAACAGCAUAGAAUAUGUUAACAGUUGUAUUUUAAAUAUAAUAAUAUAACAAUAUUAUAAUAGAGCUAAAUAAUGUCAAGUCGCUAUUUAUACUGUAAAAAAGCAUAGAACAAAUUGUGCAGGGAUGUGACACAAAAAAUUAUAUGAUAGCACACUAAAGCAGGGGAGAUAACAAAUUGAAUUAAAAGCAUAAUCUAGCAAGGCUUUGGCGUUGUGACUGUACAGAGUAUUGAAUGUUAACUGAAGACACGUAUAGUUGUUACAACAUUUUCCGGUGGAAGUGACGCUCUGCUUUAGAAUUCAUGAAUAAUUAAAGAUAUACAAGUUUGCUUAAUACUGGUACAAUAAUAAUAACGAUAAUAUACCAAAGCACCUUCCUCCUUCAAAAUACAAAAACAUGUAACUGAAACAACAAGAA